This 463-nucleotide ribosomal RNA is filed under the name uncultured bacterium. RNAcentral describes it as "partial 16S ribosomal RNA". It matches the Rfam family "Bacterial small subunit ribosomal RNA", at positions 339 to 795 of the family's 1533-position model. The record is from RNAcentral.
CUACGGGAUGCAGCAGUGGGGAAUAUUGCACAAUGGGCGCAAGCCUGAUGCAGCCAUGCCGCGUGUAUGAAGAAGGCCUUCGGGUUGUAAAGUACUUUCAGCGGGGAGGAAGGGAGUAAAGUUAAUACCUUUGCUCAUUGACGUUACCCGCAGAAGAAGCACCGGCUAACUCCGUGCCAGCAGCCGCGGUAAUACGGAGGUGCAAGCGUUAAUCGGAAUUACUGGGCGUAAAGCGCACGCAGGCGGUUUGUUAAGUCAGAUGUGAAAUCCCCGGGCGCAACCUGGGAACUGCAUCUGAUACUGGCAAGCUUGAGUCUCGUAGAGGGGGGUAGAAUUCCAGGUGUAGCGGUGAAAUGCGUAGAGAUCUGGAGGAAUACCGGUGGCGAAGGCGGCCCCCUGGACGAAGACUGACGCUCAGGUGCGAAAGCGUGGGGAGCAAACAGGAUUAGAUACCCCUGUAGUC